UCCUAUGCCGUCCUAACCAGAUCAGCUCAAACAAGACCAGCUGACUCCAAGUUCCUGGAAAACAACUCCGGCUGCUUGGAGGACAUAAUAUCCACAUGAGUUUAUUCUACCUGGAGUACUUCUCAGCAUGGGUAUCAUCUUCACUCUACAAGCUUUCUGGAUUUCCUGAGGCAGGCUUCCAGGAUCAAGUCCAAAGAACUUAACCGGGCCACCCAUCUGUCUUCACGGGAACUCCUCUAAUGGAGAAUAAGG
Non-coding RNA from Vicugna pacos (alpaca), 252 nucleotides. Lineage: Eukaryota; Metazoa; Chordata; Mammalia; Artiodactyla; Camelidae. The record is from RefSeq and is a predicted model, not a curated record.